UGGGGAAUCUUGCGCAAUGGGCGAAAGCCUGACGCAGCGACGCCGCGUGAGUGAUGAAGGCCUUCGGGUUGUAAAGCUCUGUGGAGGGGGACGAAUAAGGGUUGGCUAACAUCCAGCUCGAUGACGGUACCCCUUUAGCAAGCACCGGCUAACUCUGUGCCAGCAGCCGCGGUAAGACAGAGGGUGCAAACGUUGUUCGGAAUUACUGGGCGUAAAGCGCAUGUAGGCGGUUCGUAAAGUCAGAUGUGAAAGGCCUGGGCUUAACCCAGGAAGUGCAUUUGAAACUCACGA
RNAcentral lists this ribosomal RNA (291 nucleotides) under uncultured Sorangium sp. RNAcentral describes it as "partial 16S ribosomal RNA". It matches the Rfam family "Bacterial small subunit ribosomal RNA", at positions 355 to 639 of the family's 1533-position model. Lineage: Bacteria; Pseudomonadati; Myxococcota; Polyangiales; Polyangiaceae. The record is from RNAcentral.